RNAcentral lists this ribosomal RNA (229 nucleotides) under uncultured bacterium. RNAcentral describes it as "partial 16S ribosomal RNA". It matches the Rfam family "Bacterial small subunit ribosomal RNA", at positions 568 to 796 of the family's 1533-position model. The record is from RNAcentral.
UGCGCAGGCGGAGCGAUCAGUCAGUGGUGAAAUCCUACGGCUCAACCGUAGAACUGCCAUUGAUACUGUCGUUCUUGAGUAUAGUUGAAGUGGGCGGAAUGUGUCAUGUAGCGGUGAAAUGCAUAGAUAUGACACAGAACACUAAUCGCGAAGGCAGCUCACUAAACUACUACUGACGCUCAGGCACGAAAGCGUGGGGAGCGAACAGGAUUAGAUACCCUGGUAGUCC